Callithrix jacchus (white-tufted-ear marmoset) is the source of this 727-nucleotide long non-coding RNA. RefSeq lists it as uncharacterized. Lineage: Eukaryota; Metazoa; Chordata; Mammalia; Primates; Cebidae. The record is from RefSeq and is a predicted model, not a curated record.
GGGCCGCCGGCUGCUAUUAACUCCUUUUAGUGAGUGGCCUGGACAGCCCAGCCUGCUCAUUCACUGUAUUCUGUGCUUGAGUAUACAUUAUUCAUCACUGAGUCGGGGUCUGCAGGACAGACGCAAACAGGUGGUGACCCCGACAGUGGUGCCCCACGUGAGGAAACCCAGCAGGUGCAGAGGUCACGGCAAGUGAACUCACCGUGACCAUCACUGCAAAGGCAGCCCGACGGAGCCCUCAAAAACGAAGGUGCAAAGGACUGCACGGUGAAUUCAGUAAACAAGGUUGGCUGUUUGCAUCAACAAUAAGAAAGUCAAAGAUUCAGAUGUAGAAGAAAACGCAGCUCAAGUGAAAGGAAGUGGAAAUAUAAAUUAAAGAAAUGCUACAAUGAGCAUCAUUGUAAAUAUUUUCUCAGGCAGAGAUUCAGAUUCUGAAGAAUGACAAGCUGCCAGUUUGGACUCCCUCUGCUCCCUUUUAAGAUGCAGUGGGGAUACUCAAUGCUAUUAUUAGUAAGGAUGAAUUCAAGGCCUCUUUUCAUGAGUUCCAAUUGUAACAAUCAUCAUAAUGCAUAAGCAUAAUGUACUUUUUAUUAUACAUAUCAAAAUGAUUUUGUAUAGAGGCCUUCCAGGGAGAAUCAAUAUAAAGGGAAAUGGAGGGAAAAUUUCACUGUGUAUAGGGUAAGACUCACAAUCGAGCAAUUAAAGGCAAACAAUGUACUAAAUCUGA